RNAcentral lists this non-coding RNA (181 nucleotides) under Bacillota bacterium. RNAcentral's name for it is "6S RNA". It matches the Rfam family "6S / SsrS RNA". From Rfam's summary of the family: E. coli 6S RNA was the first non coding RNA to be sequenced, but its function was unknown until recently. It consists of 184 nucleotides that fold into an extended hairpin structure with a large single-stranded internal bulge. Lineage: Bacteria; Bacillati; Bacillota. The record is from RNAcentral.
AACGCCCUGCUGUGUGCGUGGUCUACCCUGAAGUUUUGUUCCAACACCUUAGAAAAGGGAGCGCGGUCUCUGGAUGUGGCUUGCACGCCUCUUAAUUGAGGAAACAUAAAUCAUCCAGGCGGGCACCCACCUGUGAGAGCAGGUUCAAACUUUUGGUGGGCACGGCAUUAGUGGGGUUUUA